RNAcentral lists this ribosomal RNA (503 nucleotides) under uncultured bacterium. Its description in RNAcentral is "partial 16S ribosomal RNA". It matches the Rfam family "Bacterial small subunit ribosomal RNA", at positions 30 to 523 of the family's 1533-position model. The record is from RNAcentral.
AUUGAACGCUGGCGGCAGGCUUAACACAUGCAAGUCGAGCGGGGUGAUGGUGCUUGCACUAUCACUUAGCGGCGGACGGGUGAGUAAUGCUUAGGAAUCUGCCUAUUAGUGGGGGACAACAUCUCGAAAGGGAUGCUAAUACCGCAUACGUCCUACGGGAGAAAGCAGGGGAUCACUUGUGACCUUGCGCUAAUAGAUGAGCCUAAGUCGGAUUAGCUAGUUGGUGGGGUAAAGGCCUACCAAGGCGACGAUCUGUAGCGGGUCUGAGAGGAUGAUCCGCCACACUGGGACUGAGACACGGCCCAGACUCCUACGGGAGGCAGCAGUGGGGAAUAUUGGACAAUGGGGGGAACCCUGAUCCAGCCAUGCCGCGUGUGUGAAGAAGGCCUUAUGGUUGUAAAGCACUUUAAGCGAGGAGGAGGCUCUUUUGGUUAAUACCCAAGAUGAGUGGACGUUACUCGCAGAAUAAGCACCGGCUAACUACGUGCCAGCAGCCGCCGUAA